GAAGAAAACGAAAAGCGCAGUUUAUUUUGGAUUUUAAAGAGAGAAACUAAAAGGCUUAACUAGGAGAAAAAGAAAACAUUUGGAGGAUUCAAGUAUAUUGGGUACAACAAACAAAUAAGAGA
Long non-coding RNA from Bactrocera tryoni, 122 nucleotides. RefSeq lists it as uncharacterized. The record is from RefSeq and is a predicted model, not a curated record. NCBI's taxonomy places the organism in Eukaryota, Metazoa, Arthropoda, Insecta, Diptera, Tephritidae. The transcript is spliced from 3 exons.